GAUCUUGGUUCAGGACGAACGCUGGCGGCGUGCCUAAUACAUGCAAGUCGAACGGUCUUUUCUAUGGAAGCUUGCUUCCACUGAGAAGAUAGUGGCGAACGGGUGAGUAACACGUGGGUAACCUGCCCAUAAGAGGGGGAUAACAUCCGGAAACGGGUGCUAAUACCGCAUAGUUUUCUUGAUCGCAUGAUCGGGAAAGGAAAGACGGCCUUUGUGCUGUCGCUUAUGGAUGGACCCGCGGCGUAUUAGUUAGUUGGUGAGGUAACGGCUCACCAAGACGAUGAUACGUAGCCGACCUGAGAGGGUGAUCGGCCACAUUGGGACUGAGACACGGCCCAAACUCCUACGGGAGGCAGCAGUAGGGAAUCUUCCGCAAUGGACGAAAGUCUGACGGAGCAACGCCGCGUGAGUGAAAGAAGGUUUUCGGAUCGUAAAACUCUGUUGUCAGAGAAGAACAAGUUGGAGAGUAACUGCUCCAGCCUUGACGGUAUCUGACCAGAAGGCCACGGCUAACUACGUGCCAGCCGCCGC
Molecule: ribosomal RNA, 531 nt
Filed under: uncultured bacterium
Lineage: Bacteria
Description: bacterial SSU rRNA
Rfam family: Bacterial small subunit ribosomal RNA
Source: RNAcentral